This 453-nucleotide ribosomal RNA is filed under the name uncultured bacterium. Its description in RNAcentral is "partial 16S ribosomal RNA". It matches the Rfam family "Bacterial small subunit ribosomal RNA", at positions 29 to 523 of the family's 1533-position model. The record is from RNAcentral.
AACGAACGCUGGCGGCAUGCCUAACACAUGCAAGUCGAACGGAUGCAGCAAUGCAUCAGUGGCAGACGGGUGAGUAACACGUGGGAAUCUACCCAGUAGCCUGGAAUAACCGCGGGAAACUGCGGCUAAUACCGGAUACGCCCCUCGGGGGAAAGGAGCAAUCCACUAUUGGAGGAGCCCGCGUCCGAUUAGCUAGUUGGUGAGGUAACGGCUCACCAAGGCGAUGAUCGGUGGCUGGUUUGAGAGAACGACCAGCCACACUGGGACUGAGACACGGCCCAGACUCCUACGGGAGGCAGCAGUGGGGAAUAUUGGACAAUGGGGGAAACCCUGAUCCAGCAAUGCCGCGUGGGUGAUGAAGGCCUUCGGGUUGUAAAGCCCUUUUGGCGGGGACGAUGAUGACGGUACCCGCAGAAGAAGCCCCGGCUAACUUCGUGCCAGCCGCCGCAGUAA